This 253-nucleotide ribosomal RNA is filed under the name uncultured bacterium. RNAcentral's name for it is "partial 16S ribosomal RNA". It matches the Rfam family "Bacterial small subunit ribosomal RNA", at positions 524 to 776 of the family's 1533-position model. The record is from RNAcentral.
GACAGAGGGUGCAAACGUUGUUCGGAAUUACUGGGCGUAAAGCGCGUGUAGGCGGCCCUGCAAGUCGGAUGUGAAAUCCCACGGCUCAACCGUGGAAGUGCAUUCGAAACUGCAGGGCUAGAGUCCUGGAGAGGAAGGUGGAAUGCUUGGUGUAGCGGUGAAAUGCGCAGAUAUCAGGAAGAACACCAAUGGCGAAAGCAGCUUUCUGGGACGGUACUGACGCUGAGACGCGAAAGCGUGGGGAGCGAACAGG